UUCACAAACUGCCAUAUCUCCAUGUGGCCAGCAGGGGGAGGCCGAGGUUCCUGGCUGAGCCAGGGUUGUUGAGAGACUGUAUGUAGGUCAUGGAUCAGCCUCUAUCUUCAUGAAAGACUUGGGUUGAAAAAGGGCUGAAAAAGGGCUCAACCAGCCAGGGCUACUUGAAAGUGGUGAGCAUCAGGUGACUUGCAGCCCAAGUCUAGCUGGACUAUAAGGCAGAGACGACUUCAUAGUGCUUGGAACUUAUAGGAAGAGGAGUGAAAGGCUGGCUUAAGUCAGGCCUGAGGGAGGUGGGGCUGAAUUGGCAACUACUGGUGUCUAAUGGAAGUUGGAUAGAAGAUACUGGAAAGGUCUACUCCUGAUAGCACCCUCAUUCUUCUUCAAAGAAGACAAUUAACAUUGAAGAACCUCUUUAUGGAGUUUGCUUCAAACGUGACAAGUUAGCCACUGAACAAGAAACUGCCUUUGUUUCAACUGCUGACAGCAUGCUGUCCAAACUGGACCGACAAGAUGCAGGGAAGUUGGCUGCUGAGCCUUGCUGAGCCCUGCUUCCCAAGGCAGGAAGUCACAGAGAAAUCUCAAAAGCAAGUGUUACUGUCAUGCAUGGUUAAGAGUAAUAAUGGAUCACAAAUGAC
This is a long non-coding RNA of Mastomys coucha (southern multimammate mouse), 638 nucleotides long. RefSeq lists it as uncharacterized. The record is from RefSeq and is a predicted model, not a curated record. The transcript has 3 exons. Lineage: Eukaryota; Metazoa; Chordata; Mammalia; Rodentia; Muridae.